CAUCGAGACUCCUACGGGAGGCAGCAGUGGGGAAUAUUGCACAAUGGGGGAAACCCUGAUGCAGCCAUGCCGCGUGUGUGAAGAAGGCCUUCGGGUUGUAAAGCACUUUCAGUAGGGAGGAAGGUAGUGUAGUUAACACCUGCAUUAUUUGACGUUACCUACAGAAGAAGCACCGGCUAACUCCGUGCCAGCAGCCGCGGUAAUACGGAGGGUGCGAGCGUUAAUCGGAAUUACUGGGCGUAAAGCGCAUGCAGGCGGCCUGUUAAGUCAGAUGUGAAAGCCCGGGGCUUAACCUCGGAAUUGCAUUUGAAACUGGCAGGCUAGAGUCUUGUAGAGGGGGUAGAAUUUCAGGUGUAGCGGUGAAAAUGCGUAGAGAUCUGAAGGAAUACCAGUGGCGAAGGCGGCCCCCUGGACAAAGACUGACGCUCAGAUGCGAAAGCGUGGGGAGCAAACAGGAUUAGAUACCCUGGUAG
This 473-nucleotide ribosomal RNA is filed under the name uncultured bacterium. RNAcentral describes it as "bacterial SSU rRNA". It matches the Rfam family "Bacterial small subunit ribosomal RNA", at positions 328 to 793 of the family's 1533-position model. The record is from RNAcentral.